AUGGUUGUCGUCAGCUCGUGUYGUAAAAUGUUGGGUUAAGUCCCGCAACGAGSSCAACCCUUAUCYUUAGUAGCCAGCGGUUARGCUGGGCACUCUAGAGAGACUGCCAGGGAUAACCUGGAGGAAGGUGGGGAUGACGUCAAAUCAUCAUGCCCCUUAUGAUCAGGGCUACACACGUGCUACAAUGGCGUAAACAAAGGGAAGCGAAACUGUGAGGUUGAGCAAAUCCCAAAAAUAACGUCUCAGUUCGGAUUGUAGUCUGCAACUCGACUACAUGAAGCUGGAAUCGCUAGUAAUCGCGAAUCAGAAUGUCGCGGA
Molecule: ribosomal RNA, 318 nt
Filed under: uncultured bacterium
Lineage: Bacteria
Description: bacterial SSU rRNA
Rfam family: Bacterial small subunit ribosomal RNA
Source: RNAcentral